UACGUAUGGUGCAAGCGUUAUCCGGAUUUACUGGGUGUAAAGGGAGCGCAGGCGGAAGGCUAAGUCUGAUGUGAAAGGCUGGGGCUCAACCCCGGGACUGCAUUGGAAACUGCCCGUCUUGAGUGCCGGAGAGGUAAGCGGAAUUCCUAGUGUAGCGGUGAAAUGCGUAGAUAUUAGGAGGAACACCAGUUGCGAAGGCGGCUCUCUGGACUGUAACUGACGCUGAGGCUCGAAGGCCAGGGGAGCGAAAGGG
This 253-nucleotide ribosomal RNA is filed under the name Blautia luti. RNAcentral describes it as "partial 16S ribosomal RNA". It matches the Rfam family "Bacterial small subunit ribosomal RNA", at positions 524 to 776 of the family's 1533-position model. The record is from RNAcentral. Lineage: Bacteria; Bacillati; Bacillota; Clostridia; Lachnospirales; Lachnospiraceae.